UUGUGUGUGAUGGCGUGCCUUUUGAAGAAUGAGCCUGCGAGUCAGCGGCAUGUCGCGAGGUUAACCCGUUUGUGUGGGGUAGUCGUAGCGAAAGCGAAUCCGAAUAGGGUGGCAAGUGGCAUGUCCUGGACCCGAAGCGGGGUGAUCUACCCAUGGCCAGUGUGAAGCAGCUGUAAGAGGUUGUGGAGGCGCGAACCCACUUAGGUUGAAAACUGAGGGGAUGAGCUGUGGGUAGGGGUGAAAGGCCAAUCAAACUCCGUGAUAGCUGGUUCUCCCCGAAAUGCAUUUAGGUGCAGCGUGAUGUGAGCUUGCCGGAGGUAGAGCUACUGGUUGGUUGAGCGGGACUAUCAUCUUAGCGACGUCAGCCAAACUCCGAAUACCGGUUAUAGUGGUGCAUUGCAGUGAGACUGUGGGGGAUAAGCUUCAUAGUCGAGAGGGAAACAGCCCAGAUCGCCGGUUAAGGCCCCUAAGGGUGUGCUAAGUGGAAAAGGAUGUGGGAUCGCGAAGACAGCCAGGAGGUUGGCUUAGAAGCAGCCAUCCUUGAAAGAGUGCGUAAUAGCUCACUGGUCGAGUGGUUCCGCGCCGACAAUUCAGUGGGGCUCAAGCACACCGCCGAAGCCGCGGCAAACAAUUUUGUUGUUUGGGUAGGGGAGCGUCGUGUGUGGGGUGAAGCCGUAUCGGAAGGAGCGGUGGACUGCAUGCGAGUGAGAAUGCAGGCAUGAGUAACGAAUGGCAAGUGAGAAUCUUGCCCGCCGGAUGACUAAGGGUUCCUGGGUCAAGUUCGUCUUCCCAGGGUGAGUCGGGUCCUAAGGCGAGGCCGACAGGCGUAGUCGAUGGUUAACGGGUUGAUAUUCCCGUACCCGUAUGUGCGCGCCCAGUAUCGAAGCGGUGAGACUAACCACCCUGAUCUGCCGAUCGUUGCCAUCCCUUCGGGGAUGGUUGGUUGGUGGUGAUGCGUGGGGCCUGAUCCGUUGUAGGUCAGUGAUGGGGUGACGCAGUGAGGUAGCUAAGCCGCUUAUUGGAUUGCGGUGCAAGCGUGUGGCACGACAACAUUGGUCAAAUCCGGUUGUCAUCAAGUGUGAGGCGUGAUGCGUAGCCCGAAUCGGGUGAUGUUGGUGAUCCUGUACUGCCGAGAAAAGCCUCUAGCGAUGUGCAUGUACGGCCCGUACCCAUAACCGACACAGGUGGUCAGGUAGAAAAUACUAAGGCGAGCGGGUGAACUGUGGUUAAGGAACUCGGCAAAAUGCCCCCGUAACUUCGGGAGAAGGGGGACCACAACCGGUGACACACAUUCGUGUUGAGCUGGUUGGGGUCGCAGAGAAGAGAGGGGAGCGACUGUUUAUCAAAAACACAGGUCCGUGCGAAGACGGUUAAGUUGAUGUAUACGGACUGACGCCUGCCCGGUGCUGGAAGGUUAAGAGGACCCGUUAGGACGUUGUCCGAAGCGGAGAAUUUAAGCCCCAGUAAACGGCGGUGGUAACUAUAACCAUCCUAAGGUAGCGAAAUUCCUUGUCGGGUAAGUUCCGACCUGCACGAAUGGCGUAACGACUCCCCUGCUGUCUCAACCACAGGCCCGGUGAAAUUGCAGUACGAGUAAAGAUGCUCGUUUCGCGCGGCAGGACGAAAAGACCCCGGGACCUUCACUAUAGCUUGGUAUUGGCAUUCGGUGCGGUUUGUGUAGGAUAGGUGGGAGACUUGGAAGCAUGCACGCCAGUGUGUGUGGAGUCGUUGUUGAAAUACCACUCUGACCGUAGUGGAUAUCUAACCUUGGCCCAUGAUCUGGGUUGGGGACAGUGCCUGGUGGGUAGUUUAACUGGGGCGGUUGCCUCCCAAAAUGUAACGGAGGCGCCCAAAGGUUCCCUCAGCCUGGUUGGCAAUCAGGUGUGUAGAGUGUAAGUGCACAAGGGAGCUUGACUGCGAGACUUGCAAGUCGAGCAGGGACGAAAGUCGGGACUAGUGAUCCGGCACCUACUUGUGGAUGUGGUGUCGCUCAACGGAUAAAAGGUACCCCGGGGAUAACAGGCUGAUCUUCCCCAAGAGUCCAUAUCGACGGGAUGGUUUGGCACCUCGAUGUCGGCUCGUCGCAUCCUGGGGCUGGAGUAGGUCCCAAGGGUUGGGCUGUUCGCCCAUUAAAGCGGCACGCGAGCUGGGUUCAGAACGUCGUGAGACAGUUCGGUCUCUAUCCGCCGCGCGCGUUGAAACUUGAAGAAGGCUGUCCCUAGUACGAGAGGACCGGGACGGACGUACCUCUAGUGUGCCAGUUGUUCCGCCAGGAGCACGGCUGGUUGGCUACGUACGGGAGGGAUAACCGCUGAAAGCAUCUAAGCGGGAAGCCUGUUUUAAGAUGAGGUUUCAUUUGAGGUUCCCAGGAGACUACUGGGUUGAUAGGCCGGACCUGGAAGCACAGCAAUGUGUGGAGGCGACCGGUACUAAUACACCAAUAAACACCA
This 2450-nucleotide ribosomal RNA is filed under the name Corynebacterium afermentans subsp. afermentans. RNAcentral describes it as "bacterial LSU rRNA". It matches the Rfam family "Bacterial large subunit ribosomal RNA", at positions 587 to 2925 of the family's 2925-position model. Lineage: Bacteria; Bacillati; Actinomycetota; Actinomycetes; Mycobacteriales; Corynebacteriaceae. The record is from RNAcentral.